GGGGAUUCCAAUCACCCUGGUGUUAAUUGGUCCAAAGAGGAAAUAAUGGAGACAUGAGCACAGAGUUUAUGGAAUAAGUAGAAAGCCCAAGGGAAGAUUUAGUAUUUAAUCUAGUAAUAUGAAAUGAAUCGGAGCAGAUAGAAGUAAAAUAAACCAUAAAUCAGUUGUGAGGUUGUAAUCUAUCUGAUAUAAUAGAGAACAUCAGUAUAAUGCAAAUUAGAUUAUUUAAAACAAAUAAAAGAAAAUGUUGGAAAUGGUUAGGGUGCAUCAGCGGAAUAAUAAUAGCAUUUCAGAAACUUUAAAAAAAGAUAAGUUUUCCGUAGCAAAGGAUGUGGGAGAGGGAUGGGUGGAACAAAGGGAAUAUCUCCGAUUGUGUGUGACCAUAUGAGUUGUAGCAAUGGGAAUUGCAGUUAGGAUCAGAGUGUGCUUUUACCUGUGUAAUGUAUUUCUAAUAGCAUGGUUGUGGAUCACACCCAGCUGGCCAGGCUAUACAAAUAAGAAAAGGAUAAAUGGGCUGAUAUGGUGACAGCAGAAACAUUAAAUAAUGAAUCUUGAAGACUGAUGAUAUAUUUAGUUUAGAAACAGGCACUUCAGCCCACUGAACACGCCAGCCAUCGAUCAUCCGUUCACACAGGUUCCAUGUUAUCACAUUAUCCACUCCUUGCACACUGGGGGCUAUUUACAGAGGUCAAUUAACCUUCAAACCCAUACACCUUUGGGAUGAGGGAGGAAACCAGGAAAUCCGCACAGACACAAGGAGAACGCACAAAUUCCACAUAGCACGUGAAGUCAGGACUGAAUCUGGAUCUCACAUUGAGGCAGAAGCUCUACCAGCUGUGCCAUUGUGCAGUAACAUGUUUCUCAGGCUUGCAUUGAGUUUUGUUGUAAUAAUGCAGGUCACCUACAGAAAGAUCAGUCUGGGUGUGGGGUAGGAAUUAAAGUGACAGGCUACCAAAAGCUCAGGUUCACUGCUGUGGAUUAAAUGCAGGUGUUCCAUGAAGUGACCAUCUACCAUUGUGCGCAUCAAAUGCAGCACACUAUAUUGGAAUUGCUGCUUCAUUUUGAAAGACAGCAGAUCAGUUUAGUUUACUGUCACGUAUACUGAGGUACAGUGAAAAGCUUUUUAUUGCGUGCUAACCAGUCAGCACAAUACAUGAUUACAACCGAUCCAUUUGUGGUGUAUAGAUACGUGAUAAGGGAAUGAAGUUUAGUGCAAGGUAAAGCCAGUAGGAAAGAGAUGAAGGGAUAGUUGGUGAAUCUGCUCUGGUGGCAUUGGAGUGUUUAAGAAAGAACUAGUCUGCAGAGAGGUCUUGACCCGAAACGUCACCUAUUCCUCCGCUCCAGUGAUGCAGCCUCGCCCACUGAGUUUCUGCAGCAUUUUUGUCUACCUUCGAUUUUCCAGCAUCUGCAGUUCCUUCUUAAACAUUUUGUCUAUUCCACUGCAAAAUCUCCUCAAGGUAUGCCUACUUUGAAGUUCUCCUCCCUCCGACAUCAGUCUGAAGAAGGGUUUCGGCUCGAAACAUUGCCUAUUUCCUUCGCUCCAUAGAUGCUGCCUCACCCACUGAGUUUCUCCUGCAUUUUUGUCUACCCAAAAAGGAAUUAUCCCUUUGAAAUACUGAAGAGAUGGAUAUGAAUUUGGUGGUGCCUUGUCAGAGAUGAUAGAGAUUGAGAAUCUAUUGAAUGCAGAGUUAUUAGAGUGGAAGGUAAAGAUGACAGAUCUCUGUCUGGGAGGAAUAAUGCUGAAAAUAGAGGUGUGGGAAAUGUAUGAGGUGUGGUCAAGGUCUCCACCAUGACAGAGAGAAAGACAUGCUGUUUAUUUCAUAUUGUGUGUUGCAAAGCAGUGCCAGUGCAUCCUGUUGGUCCUGCGACAUGUCCUUCUCAUCUACUGUACGGGUGAAAGCUGUUAGCCCCGCUGUUAGGAGCUUUAAUACCUUUUGGAGUUUGACAUCCAUGCCUCUAACUCCUACUCCGAUAUGUUUCCAUAUGCAAUUGUUUUGGCCAGUCUUGUCUGGCUGUAUGAAGUUGGACACCAUGUCCAGUAGAUUUUCACGUUCCUGCACCCCCUGCACACUUGAUUUCUCUUCUGCAAACCCCUCUUCAGGAUCAGCCCAGAACUGACCCCCAGUACUCCCCUCUGACGAGGAGGAUGCACUGUGCAGCCCUACAAGAGGUGCUGCUGUGGGUUUUACAUAGUGCCCACAGUAACUUGACUCCAUCUCCCGGAGCCUGUCACGUUGGAGCAAAUGCUCCACACAAUGCUCCAUCCGGCUCCAGCGCUCACGGUCGCUGGCCGCUCGCAGCUGCUCAAAGUCGGACUCAUCUGAGUCCACGACUUUGUUGGUUUUUUGUUUUGCCUUACCGCCCGGCCACGGAGUGGAUCUGGCCGGUGCGGAGGCGACAUCGGGCACAGCCGAUCCCAUUAUAGGUGAUUCUUGUGCUGCUGCUGGCUGCCCGCUACUCCGCGGUCCUCCCCCACCAGCUUUGUCGCAGCCCUCGUUGUUUUCUUCGACUUGUCCAUGCUCCCCACCUGUAAAUCAGUAUGGGAAAACACAAAAAGACCGCAGAGUAACUCUUACCUGCAGGUUCCGGCUUUUAAACUGCCGCUGCGGGGGAACGUCGUUCCACCCCGCCUGACUGUUUCGCAAUGCGUGUAGCGAUAUGACACGCAUGCGUCCUGGUGGGGUUCUUCACGUAGCCACUCGCGUGACUCCGAAGUAAAAUCAAUAUUUUCUUUGAGCUAUACCAGCAAAGUGGAACAGCUGGAUGAGGCAUUGGGUAGUGAGAUGACUAAUUAAAUAAAUCGAUUCAGAAUAUAAAACAAUAUAGCACAAGAAGAGUUCCCUUUAGCCCACCAUCUGUGUGAGGACCGUGAACCUUAUCUGCCUGCCCAUGGCCAAACCCCACUUUUCUCUGCCCCUUCUUGUGUCUGUCUGUUACACGGAUUGAUUGUACUACUUAAUUUAAUAGCCAAAUUACAGAGUUACCUACUGAGAAAAGAGCAUCGCAUGUAAGUGUCCCACAAUUUUGCAUGACUAAAUCACAGCAAAGACUCCUGUGUGUCAUUCGCACUCAUUUGUGAAAGGUCUUGGAUAAGCUGGUGACCUGAUAGAUCUCCUGAACCCCUGGGGAAAGCUUACUUUGAUCUUUCAUGGUUUAAAUUGCUC
Long non-coding RNA from Leucoraja erinaceus (little skate), 3164 nucleotides. RefSeq lists it as uncharacterized. Lineage: Eukaryota; Metazoa; Chordata; Chondrichthyes; Rajiformes; Rajidae. The transcript is spliced from 2 exons. The record is from RefSeq and is a predicted model, not a curated record.